GAUACCCUGGUAGUCCACGCUGUAAACGAUGAUUACUAGGUGUGGGGGGACUGACCCCUUCCGUGCCGCAGUUAACACAAUAAGUAAUCCACCUGGGGAGUACGGCCGCAAGGCUGAAACUCAAAGGAAUUGACGGGGGCCCGCACAAGCAGUGGAGUAUGUGGAUUAAUUCGAAGCAACGCGAAGAACCUUACCAGGUCUUGACAUCGUAUGCAUAACUCAGAGAUGAGAGAAAUCCCUUCGGGGACAUAUAGACAGGUGGUGCAUGGUUGUCGUCAGCUCGUGUCGUGAGAUGUUGGGUUAAGUCCCGCAACGAGCGCAACCCUUAUGUUUAGUUGCUACGCAAGAGCACUCUAGACAGACUGCCGUUGACAAAACGGAGGAAGGUGGGGAUGACGUCAAAUCAUCAUGCCCCUUAUGACCUGGGCCUCACACGUACUACAAUGGCUGCCAACAGAGGGAAGCAAAGCAGUGAUGCAGAGCAAAUCCCCAAAAGCAGUCUUAGUUCGGAUUGUAGGCUGCAACUCGCCUACAUGAAGUUGGAAUUGCUAGUAAUCGCGGAUCAGCAUGCCGCGGUGAAUACGUUCCCGGGGAUUGUACACACCGCCCGUCACACCAUGAGAGUCGGGAACACCCAAAGUCCGUAGUCUAACCGCAAGGAGGACGCGGCCUAAGGUGGGUUCGAUAAUUGGGGUGAAGUCGUAACAAGGUAAC
This 714-nucleotide ribosomal RNA is filed under the name uncultured bacterium. RNAcentral's name for it is "bacterial SSU rRNA". It matches the Rfam family "Bacterial small subunit ribosomal RNA", at positions 781 to 1500 of the family's 1533-position model. The record is from RNAcentral.